AUUAUGGUGCAGUGGCGGAUGCAGGAAUUUUCGAAAGGGGGGGUGCUAGCCCAGGGCAAAGGGGGGGUGCAGGGGGGGUGCAAAAUUGUCCCGAUUCAAAUGCAUUGAUCGGCCAAAAUAAAGGGGGGGUGCGGACCCCCGGAAUCCCCCCUCUGGAUCCGCCACUGUGGUGUGAAAAUAAGAUAAUAAUUAGGGCCCUGCCAGAUAGUGAUCAGUCUAGUCUGUCAGUCCCUGACAAAUUGUUUUCUCUUUAUAUCUAGAGAACUGUUAUGAUUUCAAAGUUUAUACUUAACAUGUAUAUUAACCAACACCAGAGGGUGUGUCAUAAUGUAUGAACAACUUUCUAGGUCAAAGGUCAAGGUCAAAAACUUUGGUUUCAGUCAACAACCCCAUGUUUUAUGAUAUAGAUCAUGUCUGCUCUGUAUCUUGAGAACCUUAUGAUUUCAAAGUAUACUUCACAUGAAUAUAAACAAACACAAGAGGGUGUGUCAUAAUGUAUGUACAACUUCUUAGGUUAAAGGUCAAGGUCAAAAACUUUGCUUUCAGUUGACAACCACAUGUCCUAUGGUAAAGAUAAAAAAAAAUACCAUAUGUUAUUCACAGCCGGCUUACAGAGAUGUUUCCAAACUCAAUGAUGUCUAGUUAUGCCAAAGUAUGGUUUUUACCCCAAUUACGGGUUUAUAUUUAUGUUUACUGUAGUUUACCAUGAAGCUUUGUUCACAUCAACUUGAAAUUUAGUACACAUAUUUUAUUAAGGAGAACUAAAACUACACAAAACAUAAGGAUUUUGACCCCAAGUUUAAGGUUAACUGAACAUAGCAUAAGAAUAGUGACAACAGGGAAGGGUGUUUCUAUGGAACAAAUAUUCUUGGUUUCUGUUAUGGUUAUAAGAUGCUAUUUAAACUUGCCUUGUAAUGUUGCUUGUCCAAUAUCAAAUGAAAUGUCACAGGAUAAUUUCACCGAAAUAUUUUUUUUUUAUAAAAAAAGUUUUAAUCUAGAAGACCAUACCAUUUCCCUGAGGAUAUGUAUCUGUUAUUCAUACUAUUAUUUUAUCAGUUGUAUUUACCGCUGUUGAAAAGUGAAAAAGCAUGAUGAAAAUAGAUGAAAUUCUCAAUAUUUUCUUAAUCCCUUGCCAGAACAUUAUAAUUUUACAAGUAACUUAAAUGCUAUCUCAAUUGUUUAACACUGAUGAAGUGAAACUACUUAUUAUUGUCAGGAUGAUUAUAAUUAUAUU
RNAcentral lists this long non-coding RNA (1234 nucleotides) under Mytilus galloprovincialis (Mediterranean mussel). The record is from RNAcentral. Lineage: Eukaryota; Metazoa; Mollusca; Bivalvia; Mytilida; Mytilidae.